UGGUCCUCGCCCAUCGGAGCGAAAAAGGAACUGCCCCGCCCGCCAGCUAGCCGCGGGAUCACGUGCACCCUCCUCGCCAAACCAUGCCCCGCCCACCAACUGCGCCCUGGCUAUCUUCUUCUUCCUCACGAAAGAAGGAUCUGCCCAGGUUGCAGAAUCCUUCAUCGCUAGGAGAGAAGGACAACAUGGCGGCUCCCAGGAACAAAUAAGAGAAGAGAAGAGGCUUAGAGAUCACAAAAAAGACAAUAAAAAAAGUAGAUCAAAGACCAGGCAGGAUCUUCUUCUUCCUCACGAAAGUAGGAUCUGCCCAGUUUGCAGGACCUUCAUCGCCAGAACAAAAGAACAAGAGAAGAGAAGAGGGCUUAGAAAUCAGAGAGAAGACCAGAAAAAGCCAGAUUAGAAGAGAGGAGGGACGAAAAAGAAAACCUACCUUUAGGAUCCAGAGGUGAGAAGACUUGCCCAUCUUCUUCGAGAUUCUCUUUUGUAUAUCUUGCUCCUUGUAGUGAUUUCCUUGCACACAUCUUUGACUUGUAUAUUUGGUUGUCAAAAAUCAAAUGAAUCGUGCAUAAUGUGUUUAAGGAAAAACUGUGCAACCAGUAGGUUGCUUUCGUGCAACUAAGCCAAAUAAGAUAGCCAACUGAAUGAGUGCUGUGUGCCAACUCAACAGAUUAUGCAACUCUAAACCUUUUCUUGUGCAACUAACCCAGUUGUAGCAUCCAAACUAUGAGGAGGCACUGUGCAACUGGAAGUAUAAAAGUGUCAGAACUGUGCAACUUUGGCAAGAACUCAUGUAUUUGGUUGUCAAAAAUCAAAUGAAUCUUGCAUAGUGUGUUUGCGGAAAAACUGUUCAACCAGUAGAUUGCUUUCGUGCAACUAAGCCAAAUAAGGUAGUCAACUGAAUGAGUGUUGUGUGCCAACUCAAUAAAUUAUACAACACUAAACCUAUUUUGUGCAACUAACCCCGUUCUAGCAUCCAACUAUAAGCAGGAACUGUGAAACUGGAAAUAUAAAAUGGGUCAAAACUAUGCAACCUUGGCAGGAACUUGAAAAAUCUGGAAGAAGACAAACAAUAUACGAUGACGAGCGAUAUACGAUAUGUUCUAAUAAAAAACAAUCUGCAAAUAUAGUUCUUAGAAAAUAGGUUCACACACUGCCAUCACAAAAUUUGAAACACACUGCCAUCAAACCGUUGAUCUAAAUGUGCAAAUCUAACUAAAAUAGCUAUAGGCAAUUAUAGUUGAAAUCUGAUUUUGCUUCUAUCUUUGAAGUUGUUGUAGCAUACCUUGCUUGAUAUGUUCACUUGCAUUGAUCUGCAGAAAAUCAUGCCCUUAUUUUCAUGUAGCUACUGUCUGAAUCAUAGACCUGCACAUUGUAGAUAGAAAAAAUGUUUAAUAAAUUGUAGGUAUUGUAUAAAUUGUAGGAUGCCAACACAGUAUUAUGUUCUCUGUGCAACUAGAAAUGCUAAGGAUGCCAACUAAAUACAUACUCUUGUGCAACUAGAAAAAGUCUUGAGUAUGUCGACUAGUUAGAAAAGUAUUGUGCAACUAGAAAUGCUAAGGAUGCCAACUAAAUACAUAUUCUUGUGCAACUAGAAAAAGUCUUGAGUAUGUCAACUAGUUAGAAAAGUAUUGUGUAACUAGAAUUGCUGAGGAUGCCAACUAAUUGGAUACUACUGUGCAAGUAUAAAGUCUGAGGGUGCCAAAGAUACUCUUUGGCAACCCUCAAUUUUUUUGGAGAUGGGACUAAAUUAUAUACUGUUGUGCAACUAGAAAAACUGAGGAUGUCAACUAGUUGUAUAUUGUUCCUUGAAACUAGAAAUGCUGAGAAUGCCAACUAAAUGGAUACUCUUAUCCAACAAGAAAUCUUGAGGAUACCAAGUCAGAAAAAUAGUUAUUCAACACUUGCAUGACGAGAGAAAAAAAAUCAUCACACCGUCACCAAACCAAAAACCGAGUUUAUAAAAAUGACGCUGAUGCUGUUGAAAAUACUAGCUGCAUUGAGUUCUCCAGAAAAAGUACUAAUCUCAACUGUAUGAUGGCCCAGACUAGAAAGAUGGACUAGGUGUACUGUUUGUGCAAAAAGAAGCACAUAUUUGUGUAACUAAAAUAUUGGUCCAAAACCAACUUUCCUGCGGCAUGUGUGCAAAAGAAAAAUCCCAGACUAGAAAGAUGGACUGGGUGUACUGUUUCUGCAAAAAGAAAAACAUAUUUAUGUUGGGGAACGUAGCAGAAAUUCAAAAUUUUCCUACGUGUCACCAAGAUCUAUCUAUGGAGAAACCAGCAACGAGGGGAAGGAGAGUGCAUCUACAUACCCUUGUAGAUCGCUAAGCGGAAGCGUUCAAGUGAACGGGGUUGAUGGAGUCGUACUCGUCGUGAUUCAGAUCACCGAUGAUCCUAGUGCCGAACGGACGGCACCUCCGCGUUCAACACACGUACAGCUCGACGAUGUCUCCCACGCCUUGAUCUAGCAAGGAGAGAGGGAGAGGUUGAGGAAGACUCCAUCCAGCAGCAGCACAACGGCGUGGUGGUGAUGGAGGAGCGUGGCAAUCCUGCAGGGCUUCGCCAAGCACCUACGGAAGAGGAGGAGGUGUCACGGGAGGGAGGGAGGCGCCAAGGGCUCAGGUAUGGAUGCCCUCCCUCCCCUCCACUAUAUAUAGGGGCAGGGGAGAGGGGGGAGGCGCAGCCUUGCCCCCUCCUCCAAGGAAGGGGUGCGGCUAAGAGGGGGGAGGAGUCCAUCCUCCCCAAGGCACCUCGGAGGUGCCUUCCCCUUUUAGGACUCUCCCCUUUUUCCUAUAUCUUGGCGCAUGGGCCUCUAGGGGCUGGUGCCCUUGGCCCAUGUAGGCCAAGGCGCACCCCCUACAGCCCAUGUGGCCCCCCGGGGCAGGUGGCCCCACCCGGUGGGCCCCCGGGACCCUUCCGGUGGUCCCGGUACAAUACCGAUGACCCCGAAACUUGUCCCGAUGGCCGAAACAGGACUUCCUAUAUAUAAAUCUUUACCUCCGGACCAUUCCGGAACUCCUCGUGACGUCCGGGAUCUCAUCCGGGACUCCGAACAACAUUCGGUAACCACAUACAAACUUCCUUUAUAACCCUAGCGUCAUCGAACCUUAAGUGUGUAGACCCUACGGGUUCGGGAGACAUGCAGACAUGACCGAGACGUUCUCCGGUCAAUAACCAACAGCGGGAUCUGGAUACCCAUGUUGGCUCCCACAUGUUCCACGAUGAUCUCAUCGGAUGAACCACGAUGUCAAGGACUCAAUCGAUCCCGUAUACAAUUCCCUUUGUCUAGCGGUAUGGUACUUGCCCGAGAUUCGAUCGUCGGUAUACUGAUACCUUGUUCAAUCUCGUUACUGACAAGUCUGUUUACUCGUUCCGUAACACAUCAUUCCGUGAUCAACCCCUUGGUCACAUUGUGCACAUUAUGAUGAUGUCCUACCGAGUGGGCCCAGAGAUACCUCUCCGUUUACAUGGAGUGACAAAAUCCCAAUCUCGAUUCGUGCCAACCCAACAGACACUUUCAGAGAUACCCGUAGUGAACCUUUAUAGCCACCCAGUUACGUUGUGACGUUUGGCACACCCAAAGCACUCCUACGGUAUCCGGGAGUUGCACAAUCUCAUGGUCUAAGGAAAUGAUACUUGACAUUAGAAAAGCUUUAGCAUACGAACUACAUGAUCUUGUGCUAGGCUUAGGAUUGGGUCUUGUCCAUCACAUCAUUCUCCUAAUGAUGUGAUCCCGUUAUCAACGACAUCCAAUGUCCAUGGUCAGGAAACCGUAACCAUCUAUUGAUUAACGAGCUAGUCAACUAGAGGCUUACUAGGGACAUGGUGUUGUCUAUGUAUCCACACAUGUAUCUGAGUUUCCUAUCAAUACAAUUCUAGCAUGGAUAAUAAACGAUUAUCAUGAACAAGGAAAUAUAAUAAUAAUCAAUUUAUUAUUGCCUCUAGGGCAUAUUUCCAACAGUCUCCCACUUGCACUAGAGUCAAUAAUCUAGUUCACAUCGAUAUGUGAUUAACACUCAAGGUCACAUCCCCAUGUGACUAACACCCAAAGAGUUUACUAGAGUCAAUAAUCUAGUUCACAUUUACCAUGUUAUUAACACUCGAUGAGUUCUGGGUUUGAUCAUGUUAUGCUUGUGAGAGAGGUUAUAGUCAACGGGUCUGAACCUUUCAGAUCCGUGUGUGCUUUACAAAUCUCUAUGUCAUCUCUUAGAUGCAGCUACCACGUUCUAUUUGGAGCUAUUCCAAAUAACUGUUCUACUUGGAGCUAUUCUAAAUUGUUGCUCCAUUAUACGUAUCCGGUAUCUCUACUCAGAGCUAUCCGGAUAGGUGUUAAGCUUGCAUCGACGUAACCCUUUACGACGAACUCUUUUACCACCUCCAUAAUUGAGAAAAUUCCUUAGUCCACUAGUUACUAAGGAUAACUUUGACCGCUGUCCUGUGAUCCAUUCUUGGAUCACUCUUGUACCCCUUGACUGACUCAUGGUAAAGCACACUUCAGGUGCGGUACAAAGCAUAGCAUACUGUAGAGCCUAUGUCUUAAGCAUAGGGGACGACCUUCGUUCCUUUCUCUUUAUUCUGCCAUGGUCGAGCUUUAAGUCUUAACUUCAUACCUUACAACUCAGGAAAGAACUCCUUCUUUGACUGAUCCAUCUUGAACACCUUCAAGAUCACGUCAAGGCAUGUGCUCAUUUAAAAGUACUAUUAAGCGUUUUGAUCUAUCCUUAUAGAUCUUGAUGCUCAAUAUUCAAGUAGCUUAAUCCAGGUUUUCCAUUGAAAACACUUUCCAAAUAACCCUAUAUGCUUUCCAGAAAUUCUACGUCAUUUCUGAUCAUUAAUAUGUCAACAACAUAUACUCAUCAGAAAUUCUAUAGUGCUCCCACUCAUUUCUUUGGAAAUACAAGUUUCUCAUAAACUUUGUAUACACCCAAAAUCUUUGAUCAUCAUCAAAGCAUACAUUCCAACUCCGAGAUGCUCACUCCAGUCCUCAGAAGGAUUGCUGGAGCUUUGCAUACUUAUUAGUAUAUUUCAGGAUAGACAAAACCUUCCGGUUGUAUCACAUACAACCUUUCCUCAAGAAUUGUCGAGGAAACAAUGUUUUGACAUCCUAUCUGCAAGAUUUCAUAAAUAAUGCAGUAACUGCUAAUAUAAUUCCAACAGGCUCUUAGCAUCGCUACGAGUGAGAAAGUCUCAUCGUAGUCAACUCCUUGAACUUGUCGAAAAACAUCUUAACGACAAGUCGAGCUUUCUCAAUGGUGACACUUACCAUCAUUGUCUGUCUUCCUUUCAAAAUCCAUAUGUACCUAACAGCCUUACGACCAUCAAGUAGUUCUUCCAAAGUCUACACUUUGUUUUCAUACAUGGAUCCUCUCUCGGGUUUUAUGGCCUUGAGCCAUUUAUCGGAAUCCGGGCCCACCAUCGCUUCUCCAUAGCUCGUAGGUUCAUUGUUGUCUAGCAACAUGACUUCCAAGACAGGAUUACGUACCACUCUGAAGUAGUACGCAUCCUUGUCAUCCCACGAGGUUUGGUAGUGACUCGAUCCGAAGUUUCAUGAUCACUAUCAUAAGCUUCCACUUCAGUUGGUGUACGUGCCACAGGAACAACUUCCUGUGCCCUGCUACACACUUGUUGAAGUGACGGUUCAAUAACCUCAUCAAGUCUCCACCAUCCUUCCACUCAACUUUUCGAGAGAAACCUUUCCUCGAAAAAGGACCCAAUUCUAGAAACAAUCCAUAUUGCUUUCGGAUCUGAAUUAGGAGGUAUACCCAACUGUUUUGGGUUUCCUAUGAAGAUGCAUUUUAUCCGCUCUGGGUUCGAGCUUAUCAACCUGAAACUUUUUCAUAUAAGCGUCGCAGCCCCAAACUUUUAAGAAACGACAACUUAGGUUUCUCUAAACCAUAAUUCAUACGGUGUCAUCUCAACGGAAUUACGUGGUGCCCUAUUUAAAGUGAGUGUGGUUGUCUCUAAUGCCUAACCCAUGAACGAUAGUGGUAACUCGAUAAGAGACAUCAUGGUAUGCACCAUAUCCAAUAGGGUGCAACUAUGACGUUUGGACACACCAUCACACUAUGGUGUUCCAGGCUGUAUCAGUUGUGAAACAAUUUCCACAAUGUCUUAAUUCUGUGCCAAACUCGUGAUUCAGAUAUUCAUCUCUAUGAUCAUACCAUAGAUCUUUGAUCCUCUUGUCACGACAAUCUUUCAACUUCACACUGAAAUUACUUGAACAUUUCAAUAAUUCAGACUCGUGAUUCAUCAAGUAAAUAUACUCAACAUCUACUCGAAUCAUCUGUGAAGUAAGAACAUAACGAUAUUCACUGCAUGCCUCAGCACUCAUUGGACUACACACAUCAAAAUGUGUUACUUCCAACAAGUUGCUAUCUUGUUCCAUCUUACUGAAAACGAGGCUUUUCAGUUAUCUUGCCCAUGUGGCAUGAUUUGCAUGUCCCAAGUGAUUCAAAAUCAAGUGAGUCAAAACAGUCCAUUUGCAUGGAGUUUCUUCAUGCAUAUACACCAAUAGACAUGGUUCGCAUGUCUCAAACUUUUCAAAAACGAGUGAGCCCAAAGAUCCAUCAAUAUGGAGCUUCUUCAUGCGUUUUAUACCGAUAUGACUUAUGUGGCAGUGCCACAAGUAGGUGGUACUAUCAUUACUAUCUUUUGGCAUGAACAUGUGUAUCACUACGAUCGAGAUUUAAUAAACCAUUCAUUUUAGGUGUAAGACCAUUGAAGAUAUUAUUCAAAUAAACAGAGUAACCAUUAUUCUCCUUAAAUGAAUAACCGUAUUGCGAUAGACGUAAUCCAAUCAUGUCUAUGCUCAAUGCAAACACCAAAUAACAAUUAUUUAGGUUUAACACCAAUCUCUUUGGUAGAGGGAGCGUGCGAUGCUUGAUCAUAUCAAGCUUGGAAAAACUUUCAACACAUAUCCCCCGCGCAGUCAAUCGUGGAGGAGGCAGCCGGGUUCACGUGGUGAUGGCGCGACACGGCGGGCCGAUCUAGAUGAGGCGGGUCUAGGACCUCAUGCCCGGAGCUCGUGGGGGUGGCGAGUGAUUGGGCCUCGUCUCUGCCGUGGUAGAGGGGGUGGAAGGACGAGCAGGGAGGGCCAUGGCCUAGAUCCAUGGCUGCACGAUGGCCUGGACCACACCAUCGCCGGGGAGGAGCCGGGUGGGGGAUCUCGGGGUCGAGCCAAAGGAGGAGGCCAGCAUGUGGAUGUGGUCAUGCGGAUCCGGUGAGGCCCGUGCACGGAGGAGGCGCUCGGAGGAGCUGACGGCGACGGCGACGACGCCUCGAUCCAGAAGAAUUGGGGGAACUGCGAGAGACAGCAGGAGGGAUGGUGGGCUCGGCCGGCUCGGUGGGUGGGGUGACGGGUGGGUGGGCUGCCGACCAGAUGACACCUGAAGUGAGGACGCACGCGCGUGAUUGAAAUCGUGCGGUUCCCAGCCGGCCGCUCGGUUACGCAAAAAAGUGCGCGUGCACUUUUUAGAUUUUAGGUUCUUUUAUAAGGGUAGUAGAUUAUAUUAUUAUUAUUAUUAUUAUUAGCAAUUAGCAAUUAGCAAAAGAGCCCGUGCGUUGCAACGGCCAACGGGAGAGAAAACAUAACACACACUCUUAACUCAACAACCAUCAGUCAAGAUCACAAUAGGUUCAACUUCUUUAUUUUUGUGAGGCAUCAUAUUUGUGUUGCCGCUUAUCCUUCUUCUCACCCUCGUCGACAAUGGCCUCGGUGUUCACACAAAACAACAAAAAACGUGUGUUGAAUAUGGUUAAUCCUAAGGCGUCUCUCUCUUCCUCCCUCCUCCCUCUCCCUCUCUCUCUCUUCCUCUCUCUCUCUCUCUCUCUCUCUCGCUCCCUUUCUCUCACUCUCGCGAUGAGAAAUCUGUUGUUUUCUCUUGCGACAUUUUUCAGAGGUAUGCAUGUGUAGUUAUCGAUGUUUUCUUUUCCGUAUAUGGUUAUAGUGGAGUGUUUAUUUGCAAUCCGGAUCAUCGCCGGUAUGAAAAAACGGAUCUUGCGCUAUAAAUUAUAAAUUUGCUUCCAUAACAAUAUUUUAAAAAUAUUUAACAGGUAAAAUUAACAUCACAUUUAGAUUCUAGAUUCCACACAUUUUCUAAUAAAAUUUCAUAUAAAAUAUGUUAAAAUCGAAGUUACGGUUUAAAAGAUACAGAUAAUUUAGAAAAUCAUUUGGUUUGACUCAAAUAUAUUCCAAAAUAAUAUUUAAAGAUACUUAAAAGGUAAAAAUAAUCUCAUAUUCAUAUUCUACAUAUUUUUCUAAUCAAAUUUCAUAUAUAACAUGUUCAAAUCGGAGUUAUGGUUUAAAAGAUAUGGAUGAUUUUAAAAUGCAUUUGUUUGACUUAAAUAUGAUCCGCGGAUGAAUUACCUAAAACACCAGGAGGGUUUUCGAAAAAUGUAAAAUAACGGUUUGGGUGUGACUUAAAUCGGGACGGCGGGUUGAUUUCAAGAAAAGACAGGGACUUUUGUGUAAAAUACAAAAAUAAUGAUUUGUUUAAACUUAAAACAGGACUGUGGGUUGAAUUCUCUGAAAUAGAGAGACUUUUCUGAAAAAUGGCAUGACGGACAAAAGAAACCCAAUUUGUUUUAUUAUUAUCAGGUAAAGAUUAGCAAAAGAGCCCGUGCGUUGCAACGGGAGAGAAAACAUAACCCAAACUCUUAACCCAACAACCAUCACCCAAGACCACAAUAGGUCCAUAUCCUUUAUUUUUGUGAGGCAUCAUAUUUGUGUUGCUGCUUAUCCUCCUUCUCACCCUCGCUGGCGAUGGCCUCGGUGUUCACACAAAACAAAAAAAAUGUGUUUGAAUAUGUUUAAUCCUAAGGCGUCUCUCUCUCUCCUCCCUCUCCCUCCCUUUCUCUCUCUCUCUCUCUCUUUCUCUCACUCUUGCGAUGAGAAAUCUGUUGUUUUCCCCUGCGAUAUUUUUCAGAGGUAUGCAUGUGUAGUUAUCGAUGUUUUCUUUUCCCUAUAUUGUUAUAGUGGGUGUUUAUUUGCAAUCUAGGUCGCCGCCGGUACGAAAGGAUAACGGAUCUUACACUAUAAAUUAUAAGUUUGCUCCCAAAAUGAUAUUUUAAAAAUAUUUAACAGGUAAAAUUAACAUCAUAUUUAGAUUCCACAUAUUUUUCUAAUAAAAUUUCAUAUAUAAUAUGUUAAAAUCGAAGUUACGGUUUAAAAGAUACGGAUAAUUUAGAAAAUCAUUUAUUUAACUUAAAUAUAUUCCAAAAUAAUAUUUAAAAAUACUUAACAGGUGAAAAUAAUCUCAUAUUCAUAUUGUACAUAUUUUUCUAAUCAAAUUUCAUACAUAACAUGUUCAAAUUGGAGUUAUGGUUUAAAAAAUAUGGAUGAUUUAAAAAAAUAUUGUUUGACUUAAAUAUGAUCCACGGAUGAAUUACCUAAAACAUCAGGGGGUUCUCGAAAAAUGUAAAAUAACGGUUCGGGUGUGACUUAAAUCCGGACCGCGGGUUGAUUUCAACGAAACAUAGGGACUUUUGUGUAAAAUAUGAAAAAACGAUUUGUUUUAUCUUAAAACAGGACUGUGGGUUGUAUUCUCUGAAAUAGAGGGACUUUUCUAAAAAAUGCCAUAACGGACAAAACAAACCCAAUUUGCUUUAUUAUUAGGUAAAGAUAAAGAUAUAUAUAUAUAUAUAUAUAUAGGUAAAGAUAAAUAUAAAGAUAAAGAUUUGUCACCCAAAAAAACCGCUAUUGUUUUUAGGAGCCAGAUACUUAAAAAUAAAAAUUUAUUUUUAGAAAUUGUUAAUUAUGUGUAUUAUAAAAAGUUCACUAUAUAUUAAGAAAAAGUUCACCCGAUCAUGGGUAGCCCAGCCCGUUGGCUCAGGUUGGGCUCGGGCUCAAUUUUCCAUCCGAAGCCUGGCUCGAAAGGCCGAAGUUACCAAAAUUAUUAAAAAUAGGUGUAAUAUUAUGUGCUAUACCCCGAAGGUAUUUAUUUUAAUUAAAAAUGUACUGUUCACAUGUUUCGAGCCAGGCUCGGGAUUUAUGCUUCGGGCUCGGCCCGGGAUAUGAUCAGGUUUACAUUGCUACUACCUCCAUGCCAAAAUAUAGUGCAAAUUAGUUUUCUUUUUAAGUUAAACUGACCAAGUUUACGGAAAAAAUUAUCAGCAUUUACAAUACCAUAUAAAUACCGCCAGGUUCAUCAUGAAGUUUAUUUUCAUACAUAUAUAUUUGGUACUUUGAGUGUUCAUAUAAUUUUUUCUAUAUAGUUGAUCAAACUUUACAAAGUUUUACUUAGAACAAAUCUAUUAUGAACUAUAUUUUAAUAUGUAGGGAUGACAUGGAGGCUCCUACACGUUGGGCAACACACUCGGCAGAAAGGAUAAUUGCCUUCUAUAUUCGAUCAGUGAAUUCAUUUGCAAUGGACAAACAUACAGGAAGACCUUUGUGCCCUCUAGACGUUUUACAAAACAAAGAAUCAAGUUUUCAGUGUUGAAUCUGCCUGUAAGUUCUAUCCUUGUCCUUCUCUAAACGCAAGUAUAGACACCCCAUUUCACCCAUCAAAAACUAACAAGUUCUGUAUAGCUGCUCAGGGAAGGCCACACCAAGAAGAAGAAGAUCCAUUAUUCCUCAACUCUUCACAAGGUGCAGGGAAAACUUCAUGCGCCUCUCCAAACACAGACU
Molecule: long non-coding RNA, 10626 nt
Filed under: Triticum aestivum (bread wheat)
Lineage: Eukaryota; Viridiplantae; Streptophyta; Magnoliopsida; Poales; Poaceae
Description: long non-coding RNA (TAES_LNC016429)
Source: RNAcentral